RNAcentral lists this long non-coding RNA (468 nucleotides) under Coturnix japonica (Japanese quail). Its description in RNAcentral is "lncRNA (ENSCJPG00005000465.1)". Lineage: Eukaryota; Metazoa; Chordata; Aves; Galliformes; Phasianidae. The record is from RNAcentral.
AAAAAGGCGGUAUGUGGUAAACGGGAUGGGUGGGUGUGGGGGUGGUUGGAAGGUCGAGCUGCUGGCCUAUUUUGGGUCAAUUUUGAGGCUUUUUUGGGUGUUUUUGAUGCUGGUUUUGGGGUUGGUUGUGGGGGUCUUUUGGGGUCUGAUUUUGGGGUCAAUUUGAUGCUUUUUGGGGCUGAUUUUGGUGUAGAUUUGAUGCUUUUUGGGGCUGAUUUAGGGGUCAAUUUGAUGCUGUUUUGGAGCCUGGUUUUGGGUCAUUUUGAUGCUUUUUCGGGGCUUGAUUUGGGGUGUUUCUGAUGUCCUCCGUUCCGGGCCCUGGUUUUGGGGUCGUUUGAUGCUUUGUUGGGGGCUGGUUUUGGGUCGGUUUUGAGUGCUUUUGGGGCUGAUUUUUGGGUCUUUGAUUGCUGGUUUGAGGUUGGUUUGGGGGUCUUUUGGAGGGCUGGUUUUGGGCGGUCAAUUUGAUGC